UACUAGCCCUGAUGGAAGCGUCAUCCUUUUGGGUCGGGGUUCGCCCAAAAGAUAUAGUGCACAGCAGGAAAUAGC
This 75-nucleotide small RNA is filed under the name Flavobacterium sp. TAB 87. RNAcentral describes it as "Flavo-1 RNA". It matches the Rfam family "Flavo-1 RNA". The record is from Rfam by way of RNAcentral. Lineage: Bacteria; Pseudomonadati; Bacteroidota; Flavobacteriia; Flavobacteriales; Flavobacteriaceae.